CUGCGUACCACUAAGCCGCCGCCACAGAAUAGACGAAGGUAACUAAAGCACUACGAGGAGGAAAACGACACCACAAGAGGCUCGGAACACGGAGGGAAGAAGGGUGUUGCUCCAACGUUCAGAGAACGAGAACUGAGAUGUUUCUUUCGUAGUUUACUAAGCAGCCAACCAUUUAGACGACAACAUGAAGGGAUAACCAGAGCUACCAGCGACCAAAAGCAAACAGCACACAUAGCUUCUAUCUCGAAAAUACAAAGAACUGAGUCGCAAACCUCUCUUGAGUUGCAUAGUAUCUCUAUAGAUACUACUCGACCACUAAAAAGAACGUACUAACACCACAGAAGUGAGACUUCAUAUACCUCUAGAAGUGUGGUUCUUGAAUCUACCGUUUAGAAAAGAGGUUACAUAAGCUUUAGAAUCCUAGUUUAUACACUUACUGUACAAAAAGUCGGGGAACCUGUCGACGCUGUUUAGAAACAGUGACGAAAGAAACCGUUACAUACAAGAAUAAAAGGAACAGGAGAUAAAGUAAAAGAAAAGAGGAAUAAUCGAAAAAAAGAAACGGAUAAGACCAGAGAAACUAAAAAAACACAUCCCUCCGUUACGGUUCACUCCAAGUCGUACACGUGUCAGGAUCGAGUUAACCACCUACUCAAGGGGAAAACUCAUCGUAUAUUGUAUCUUGGUGAUCACGUUUAGUAAACCUAAUAACUACCUAAAUGUUCCAGAAAAAUCACCUAAAUUUCACCGUAGAAAUUACGUAGAACGUGAGAUUAAGAAUCAUCAAUUAGAAUCGUCAAAAAAGUCACGUUUGGUAAACCUAACAACCAUCUAAAUGUCACAGUAAAAUCACCUAAAAUGUCACAUUAAAAUUACGUAGAAUGUGACAUUAAGAAUCACCCGUACUAUCUUUCAUAACAGCUAAAAUCACCUAAAAUGUCGUUUAAAGAACCACCAUUAUAAUAACAUUAAUAUGAAGAAACAGUUACAUUAAAAAUCCACUGUAGUAG
RNAcentral lists this ribosomal RNA (1010 nucleotides) under Triticum aestivum (bread wheat). Its description in RNAcentral is "partial small subunit ribosomal RNA". Lineage: Eukaryota; Viridiplantae; Streptophyta; Magnoliopsida; Poales; Poaceae. The record is from RNAcentral.